Molecule: ribosomal RNA, 492 nt
Filed under: uncultured bacterium
Lineage: Bacteria
Description: partial 16S ribosomal RNA
Rfam family: Bacterial small subunit ribosomal RNA
Source: RNAcentral
AUUGAACGCUGGCGGCAUGCUUUACACAUGCAAGUCGAACGGUAACAGGCCUUCGGGUGCUGACGAGUGGCGAACGGGUGAGUAAUGCAUCGGAACGUACCCAGAGGUGGGGGAUAACGCAGCGAAAGCUGUGCUAAUACCGCAUGCGAUCUGAGGAUGAAAGCGGGGGACCGAGCAGCAAUGUUUGGCCUCGCGCCUUUGGAGCGGCCGAUGUCGGAUUAGCUAGUUGGUGGGGUAAAGGCCUACCAAGGCGACGAUCCGUAGCUGGUCUGAGAGGACGACCAGCCACACUGGGACUGAGACACGGCCCAGACUCCUACGGGAGGCAGCAGUGGGGAAUUUUGGACAAUGGGCGCAAGCCUGAUCCAGCAAUGCCGCGUGCGGGAAGAAGGCCUUCGGGUUGUAAACCGCUUUUGGCAGGAACGAAACGGUGUCCGCUAAUACCGGGCGCUAAUGACGGUACCUGCAGAAUAAGCACCGGCUAACUACGUG